Molecule: ribosomal RNA, 426 nt
Filed under: uncultured bacterium
Lineage: Bacteria
Description: partial 16S ribosomal RNA
Rfam family: Bacterial small subunit ribosomal RNA
Source: RNAcentral
GUGAGGAAUUUUCCGCAAUGGGCGAAAGCCUGAUGGAGCAAUGCCGCGUGAAGGAUGAAGGCCUAUGGGUUGUAAACUUCUUUUCUCAGAAAAGAAUUAUGACGGUAUCUGAGGAAUAAGCAUCGGCUAACUCUGUGCCAGCAGCCGCGGUAAGACAGAGGAUGCAAGCGUUAUCCGGAAUGAUUGGGCGUAAAGCGUCUGUAGGUUGUUUAAAAAGUAUUCUGUCAAAGAUUAGGGCUUAACCCUAGAUAGGCAGAAUAAACUUUUAAGCUAGAGUUUGGUAGAGGCAGAGGGAAUUCCCGGUGGAGCGGUGAAAUGCGUAGAUAUCGGGAGGAACACCAAAGGCGAAGGCACUCUGCUGGGCCAAUACUAACACUGAGAGACGAAAGCGAGGGGAGCAAAUGGGAUUAGAUACCCGAGUAGUCC